GAUGAACGCUGGCGGCGUGCCUAAUACAUGCCAGUCGAGCGAACAGAUGAGGAGCUUGCUCCUCUGACGUUAGCGGCGGACGGGUGAGUAACACGUGGAUAACCUACCUAUAAGACUGGGAUAACUUCGGGAAACCGGAGCUAAUACCGGAUAAUAUAUUGAACCGCAUGGUUCAAUAGUGAAAGACGGUUUUGCUGUCACUUAUAGAUGGAUCCGCGCCGCAUUAGCUAGUUGGUAAGGUAACGGCUUACCAAGUCAACGAUGCGUAGCCGACCUGAGAGGGUGAUCGGCCACACUGGAACUGAGACACGGUCCAGACUCCUACGGGAGGCAGCAGUAGGGAAUCUUCCGCAAUGGGCGAAAGCUUGACGGAGCAACGCCGCGUGAGUGAUGAAGGUCUUCGGAUCGUAAAACUCUGUUAUUAGGGAAGAACAAAUGUGUAAGUAACUAUGCACGUCUUGACGGUACCUAAUCAGAAAGCCACGGCUAACUACGUG
Molecule: ribosomal RNA, 497 nt
Filed under: uncultured bacterium
Lineage: Bacteria
Description: partial 16S ribosomal RNA
Rfam family: Bacterial small subunit ribosomal RNA
Source: RNAcentral